This is a long non-coding RNA of Etheostoma cragini (Arkansas darter), 183 nucleotides long. RefSeq lists it as uncharacterized. NCBI's taxonomy places the organism in Eukaryota, Metazoa, Chordata, Actinopteri, Perciformes, Percidae. The transcript has 3 exons. The record is from RefSeq and is a predicted model, not a curated record.
UUUUUAUGUCUAAGUGACUGAUGGAAACAACAAUCUUUGACAUUGGUCCAAUAUUAACACAGAUCGCUGCAGUGGGCAGCAGUGAAACAAGCUACAAUGAAAGAUAAUAGGGUAAUUAUCCAGCUUGUAUUUAUCUACACAAAAGUGCUGUUUUUGCCACCGACAGGCUCAGAUUAAUAUUCU